RNAcentral lists this ribosomal RNA (648 nucleotides) under Rhizoctonia solani. RNAcentral's name for it is "eukaryotic LSU rRNA". The stretch from base 234 to 387 matches the Rfam family "5.8S ribosomal RNA". Lineage: Eukaryota; Fungi; Basidiomycota; Agaricomycetes; Cantharellales; Ceratobasidiaceae. The record is from RNAcentral.
GGGCCCCCCGCCUGGUAUGAGAGUUUGGUUGUAGCUGGUCUAUUAUAUUUAGGCAUGUGCACACCUCCCUCUUUCAUCCCACACACACCUGUGAACUUGUGAGACAGUUGGGGAAUUUAUUUGUUAUUUUUUGUAAUAAAAUGAUAAUAAGUCAUUGAACCCUUCUGUCUACUCAACUCAUAUAAAAUCAAUUUAUUUUAAAUGAAUGUAAUGGAUGUAACACAUCUCAUACUAAGUUUCAACAACGGAUCUCUUGGCUCUCGCAUCGAUGAAGAACGCAGCGAAAUGCGAUAAGUAAUGUGAAUUGCAGAAUUCAGUGAAUCAUCGAAUCUUUGAACGCACCUUGCGCUCCUUGGUAUUCCUUGGAGCAUGCCUGUUUGAGUAUCAUGAAAUCUUCAAAAUCAAUCUUUUUGUUAACUCAAUUAGUUUGAUUUUGGUAUUGGAGGUCUUUUGCAGCUUCACACCUGCUCCUCUUUGUGUAUUAGCUGGAUCUCAGGUUAUGCUUGGUUCCACUCAGCGUGAUAAAUUAUCUAUCGCUGAGGACACUGUAAAAAGUGGCCAAGGUAAUGCAGAUGAACCGCUUCUAAUAGUCCAUUGACUUGGACACUAUUAUUAUGAUCUGAUCUCAAAUCAGGUAGGACUACCCGC